This 253-nucleotide ribosomal RNA is filed under the name uncultured bacterium. RNAcentral's name for it is "partial 16S ribosomal RNA". It matches the Rfam family "Bacterial small subunit ribosomal RNA", at positions 524 to 776 of the family's 1533-position model. The record is from RNAcentral.
UACGUAGGGGGCAAGCGUUGUCCGGAUUUAUUGGGCGUAAAGAGCGUGUAGGCGGCCUGAAAGGUCAGCUGUGAAAACUCGAGGCUCAACCUCGAGACGUCGGUUGAAACCAUCUGGCUAGAGUCCGGAAGAGGAGUGUGGAAUCCCCGGUGUAGCGGUGAAAUGCGCAGAUAUCGGGAAGAACACCCGUGGCGAAGGCGGCGACCUGGACGGACACUGACGCUGAGACGCGAAAGCGUGGGGAGCAAACAGG